Molecule: ribosomal RNA, 473 nt
Filed under: uncultured bacterium
Lineage: Bacteria
Description: bacterial SSU rRNA
Rfam family: Bacterial small subunit ribosomal RNA
Source: RNAcentral
GACGAACGCUGGCGGCGUGCUUAACACAUGCAAGCCGAACGGGAGUAUUGAAGAAGCUUGCUUUAGAGAUACUUUAGUGGCGGACGGGUGAGUAACGCGUGAGGAGCUGUCCAAUGCAGGGGGACAACAGUUGGAAACGACUGCUAAUACCCCAUAAGCCGAGAGGUAAAAGGAUUUAUCCGGCAGAGGAGGUACUCGCGUCCUAUCAGCUAGUAGGUGAGGUAACGGCUCACCUAGGCGAAGACGGGUAGCCGGCCUGAGAGGGCGAACGGCCACACUGGAACUGAGAUACGGUCCAGACUCCUACGGGAGGCAGCAGUGGGGAAUAUUGGGCAAUGGGGGGAACCCUGACCCAGCGACGCCGCGUGGGUGAAGAAAUCCUUCGGGAUGUAAAGCCCUGUUGUAUGGGAAGAGCGGAAGACGGUACCAUACGAGGAAGCCCCGGCAAACUACGUGCCAGCAGCCGCGGUAAU